CCCAAUGCAAUAUAUUCAGUGACACUAGAAUCUAAAUUGUACGCAAUCUUUCUUGAAACCAUACAACUAAAAAAAAAUCGAUAAGAAUCAUGUAAUAGACUGCAACUAUGUUAUUAAAAAACCGAAAUAUUCCUAAACCUUUGCAGGAAUCUCCCCUCCGGAAAACUUUUUUGACUUCUUUCCGACUAUUUUUGACAUGGACAAGAAUAUGCUUAUGCUUUCUCUCUCUUUGCUUCAAAAAUAAGUCUCAGUACCACAACAUCAGUCUUCUGAUUUUAUGAACUAAUAUUUGAAUUGUGAUCCUUUAAGUCUUAAAUUGCAAAACAACGUAAGCAGCUUGCAUUUGUAAUGUAGUAGAUUAGUUUAUUGACGAUGUGGUAACCACUUUUAAUUGCAUCGAAUAAGUCAAGGCAGUAUUAGCUUCUAAAUACAAGUACUUUUAAAAUUAUUUGUACAAGUAUAUUGACUUGGUUUUAAGCGUGACGCCAAUUAUUUUAUGAAGUUUUUG
RNAcentral lists this unclassified non-coding RNA (508 nucleotides) under Brettanomyces bruxellensis. Lineage: Eukaryota; Fungi; Ascomycota; Pichiomycetes; Pichiales; Pichiaceae. The record is from RNAcentral.